GUGGCUGUAGCUCAGUCGGUUAGAGCACCGGAUUGUGAUUCCGGGGGUCGUGGGUUCAAGUCCCAUCAGCCACCCCA
RNAcentral lists this transfer RNA (77 nucleotides) under Rhodospirillales bacterium. RNAcentral describes it as "tRNA-His". It matches the Rfam family "tRNA". Rfam says of the family: Transfer RNA (tRNA) molecules are approximately 80 nucleotides in length. Their secondary structure includes four short double-helical elements and three loops (D, anti-codon, and T loops). Further hydrogen bonds mediate the characteristic L-shaped molecular structure. tRNAs have two regions of fundamental functional importance: the anti-codon, which is responsible for specific mRNA codon recognition, and the 3' end, to which the tRNAs corresponding amino acid is attached (by aminoacyl-tRNA synthetases). tRNAs cope with the degeneracy of the genetic code in two manners: having more than one tRNA (with a specific anti-codon) for a particular amino acid; and 'wobble' base-pairing, i.e. permitting non-standard base-pairing at the 3rd anti-codon position. The record is from RNAcentral. Lineage: Bacteria; Pseudomonadati; Pseudomonadota; Alphaproteobacteria; Rhodospirillales.